This 4072-nucleotide unclassified non-coding RNA is filed under the name Hevea brasiliensis (rubber tree). Lineage: Eukaryota; Viridiplantae; Streptophyta; Magnoliopsida; Malpighiales; Euphorbiaceae. The record is from RNAcentral.
GUGUGGCUAACUACUUUCCAGAAUGAUAUUGUAAGGGUACGGAUCAUUUGCCAUUUCUAUCUCUUCUGAAUUUUUGUCCUCAAUUUCCUACAUUUUCUUCCUCUUCUUCAGUUUCUCUUCAUUCUUCAAAGAUCCAACUUUACUGUUCUCUCUUUGCCUUUCAAGUUUCAAUCUCUUUCCUUUUUCUUUCUUUUUCAGUCAUUGCUCACCACUGUGAAGGAAUUACUCCAGUGUGUGUGUGCAAGGCUCCAUGCUGUCUAAAUUUUGAGUUUUUUCUUUGUUUUUGGUCACUUCCAUGCAAGAUUUGAAAUGGGUGUUUCAAGAACCAGCCAGUGAUGCUAAAAUGAAGCUAUUAUUCUCUUUUUUGCCUGGUUAGUAUGGUUCUUGAUGAAGCAAAAUGCAACUCUGCAGAUCUGCUACCAUGAGAAACAACUACAUAAAGCUUGUUUUAGUACUGCUUUGUCUUGUUUCUGUGGUUUACAGUGAUACAGAUCCCAACGACUGGACUAUUCUCAAAGCAUUCAGAGAUGGGUUAGAGAACCCAGAGCUCUUGGAGUGGCCUGCGACUGGUGAUGACCCAUGUGGCCAAUCCUGGAAGCAUGUUCAAUGUGUUGGUUCAAGGGUCUCUCAAAUUCAGGUACAAAAUAUGAGUUUGAAGGGCUCUUUGCCUCAGAACCUCAACCAGCUCAUCAUGCUCAAUAACUUAGGCCUCCAGAGGAACCAAUUUUCUGGGCCUUUACCAUCCUUCAGUGGUUUAUCGAAACUGCAGUAUGCUUAUUUGGAUUACAAUCAGUUCGAUUCUGUCCCAUCUGACUUCUUUGUAGGUUUAGAGAGUUUGCAAUUCUUGGCAUUGGAUAACAACCCUUUCAAUGCCACUGGGUGGACAUUCCCCAUGGACCUGAAUGUUUCUUCACAAUUGACCAAUCUUUCUUGUAUGAAUUGUAAUUUGGCUGGUCCACUGCCUGAUUUUCUAGGGAGCUUGUUCUCUCUGCGGAACCUGAAACUCUCAGGCAAUAAUUUAUCAGGAGAAAUUCCGCUGAGCUUCGGUGUUUUGCCUCUACAGAAUCUAUGGCUAAAUGAUCAAAAAGGCGGUGGCUUGAGUGGUACAAUUGAUGUGGUGGCAACUAUGGAAUCGGUAAGUGUUCUGUGGCUUCAUGGGAAUCAGUUCACAGGUAAAAUUCCAAAGAGCAUUGGUAAUCUGACUCAUUUGAAGGAUCUCAAUCUGAAUAGUAAUAGACUUGUUGGAUUAAUUCCUGAUAGCUUGAAAAAUAUGCCACUAGAGCAUUUAGAUUUGAACAAUAAUCAGCUAAUGGGCCCAAUUCCUGAGUUUAAGGCAGCUAAGGCGUCUUGUACUUCAAAUUCCUUUUGUCAAUCCACUGCAGGGGUUCCUUGUGCCCCAGAAGUUAUGGCACUUUUAGAUUUCCUUGAUGGGUUGAAUUUUCCUCCUAGACUUGUUUCUUCAUGGACUGGUAAUGAUCCAUGUUCAGUAUGGAUGGGGGUGACUUGUGAUUCCAAUAAGGUGCAUUCCAUUGCUUUGCCUAAAUAUAAUCUUAGUGGUACCUUGAGUCCUUCAGUUGCAAAACUAGGUUCUCUUCAGCAAAUUAAACUUGGGGGCAACAAUCUUAGUGGUCCAGUUCCAACAAAUUGGACUUCCUUGACCUCUUUGGAAACCUUGGAUCUUAGUAACAACAACAUUUCCCCUCCAUUUCCAAGAUUCCCUACCACUGUGAAGCUAGUCAUUGAUGGCAAUCCUCUAUUAGCAGGUGGUAAGCCAGCCCCAUCCCCUGAUAACAAUCCUUCUUCUGGAAGUUCAAAUUCACCUAAACCCCCAUCACAAACCAAAGGCAUAAAUUCUAAUCCUGGUGAUUCUGUAGAACCAGCAAAACAGAAAAGCAAGGGCUCCACAUUGGUUGCAAUUGUAGCUCCUGUUGCAAGUGUUGCAUUUGCUGCUAUUCUGAUCAUUCCUCUAUCCAUUUACUAUUGUAAGAAGAGAAAAGACACGUCCCAGGCUCCAACUUCCCUAGUCAUUCACCCAAGAGAUCCAUCUGAUUCAGAUAACAUGGUUAAGAUUGUUGUUGCCAAUAACACCAACGGAAGCACUUCAACAUUAACAGGGAGUGGUUCUGCAAGCAGAAAUAGUAGUGGUAUUGGUGAGUCUCAUGUCAUCGAAGCAGGAAAUCUGGUCAUAUCAAUUCAAGUUCUUAGAAACGUGACAAAGAAUUUUUGCCCGGAGAAUGAGCUUGGCCGUGGUGGCUUUGGAGUGGUUUAUAAAGGGGAAUUGGAUGAUGGGACAAAAAUAGCAGUAAAAAGAAUGGAGUCUGGUGUGAUUAGCAGCAAAGCCUUGGAUGAAUUUCAGGCUGAGAUUGCUGUUCUUUCAAAGGUCCGACAUCGUCAUUUAGUAUCACUUUUGGGUUAUUCAAUUGCAGGCAAUGAGAGAAUCCUUGUUUAUGAGUAUAUGCCUCAAGGAGCUCUCAGUAAGCAUCUUUUCCACUGGAAGAGCCUGAAAUUGGAGCCUCUUUCUUGGAAGAGGAGACUAAAUAUUGCCUUGGAUGUUGCUAGAGGAAUGGAAUAUCUUCAUAAUCUAGCUCACAGAAGCUUCAUACAUAGAGAUCUUAAAUCAUCAAAUAUCUUACUUGGUGAUGAUUUCAGGGCAAAAGUUUCAGAUUUUGGACUGGUAAAACUUGCUCCUGAAGGGGAGAAAUCUAUGGUGACCAGGCUUGCUGGGACUUUUGGAUACUUGGCACCAGAAUAUGCUGUGACGGGAAAAGUCACAACCAAGGUUGAUGUCUUCAGCUUUGGGGUUGUGUUAAUGGAGCUGCUGACUGGGUUGAUGGCACUCGAUGAGGACAGACCAGAGGAAAGUCAAUACCUGGCUGCAUGGUUCUGGCACAUCAAAUCAGAUAAGCAGAAACUUAGGGCUGCCAUUGACCCUGCCCUUGAUGUCAAAGAUGAAACAUUUGAGAGUAUUUCCAUCAUUGCUGAACUUGCUGGGCACUGCACAGCAAGAGAGCCCAGCCAAAGGCCGGAUAUGAGCCAUGCAGUGAAUGUACUAGCCCCUCUUGUUGAAAAAUGGAAACCAUUGGACGAUGAUAUAGAAGAAUAUUGCGGUAUUGAUUAUAGCCUACCACUUAACCAGAUGGUGAAGGGCUGGCAGGAAGCAGAAGGGAAAGAUUUCAGUUAUGUGGACCUAGAAGACAGCAAGAGUAGUAUCCCAGCAAGGCCAACAGGCUUUGCAGAGUCUUUCACUUCCGCAGAUGGUCGGUAAAAGAGGUUUUUUUUUCACUGCCUUUCUUUAUCGGGUGUUCUUUUGGUAGGUAGUAUGUUCUGUUGUUUUUGUUUCUGAAUUUAAUGUCAAUAUGCUGUACUGUCAAUGCAUAAUAUGGUGGAUUGUGCAUUCCAAACAUUUCAGAGCAUUCAUGUAGGCUUUGAAUUUUUAGUUGUGAGAUUGCUAUUGGUGACGUAGAUAGAGAACAAUGAUAAAUGCAAACUUCUUGUUUGAUUAUUUCCUUGUCCUUCCAUAGAGGUUAUUGCAGUCUGCCAUUGUUGCUGAAUUGAGUUCUCAUUUGAGCUUUAGAUGAGUUCAGUGUGCGCAUUUGACUCUUCUCAAUGAGAUAUUGAUUCCAAUAUCAAUCCACUCCCAGUGGCCAUUGCCAAUGCCUGACCCAAAAGGAUACCAUAGAACUUGCCAAACAUCAUAGGACCAAAUGGUGGGUCUGUUUUCCACUGUCCUUUUUCACUUUCCAGCUGCUGAAAUGGAAUGCUUUAUGCUAUUAUUGUCACUGCACCUAUAUGUAUAUAACACAGAUGUUGAUAGGAUUGAUGCGAAUUUCUGCUACAAAGACUAAUGUAUGUCUGAUCCAUGCUUGCCCAUGUGGGUGGCCUCUUCUUUUCCAUUUAGGACAACUAGCAUGUUAGUUUCAGGGUUUUGGCCUCAUUAGGGUGACAAAUUAUGAUUCUUCUGACCAAUCAAAAGCAAUAACAUGGCCAAUAAAUGGCGGGUUGUGUUGUGUGGUAAUUGAGAUUGUUUGUUUAGAGCCUCAAAAAUUGUUCACUUCUCCCUACAUCUUAACAG